Molecule: ribosomal RNA, 1302 nt
Filed under: Staphylococcus epidermidis
Lineage: Bacteria; Bacillati; Bacillota; Bacilli; Caryophanales; Staphylococcaceae
Description: bacterial SSU rRNA
Rfam family: Bacterial small subunit ribosomal RNA
Source: RNAcentral
ANGCGGCGUGCUAAUACAUGCAAGUCGAGCGAACAGACGAGGAGCUUGCUCCUCUGACGUUAGCGGCGGACGGGUGAGUAACACGUGGAUAACCUACCUAUAAGACUGGGAUAACUUCGGGAAACCGGAGCUAAUACCGGAUAAUAUAUUGAACCGCAUGGUUCAAUAGUGAAAGACGGUUUUGCUGUCACUUAUAGAUGGAUCCGCGCCGCAUUAGCUAGUUGGUAAGGUAACGGCUUACCAAGGCAACGAUGCGUAGCCGACCUGAGAGGGUGAUCGGCCACACUGGAACUGAGACACGGUCCAGACUCCUACGGGAGGCAGCAGUAGGGAAUCUUCCGCAAUGGGCGAAAGCCUGACGGAGCAACGCCGCGUGAGUGAUGAAGGUCUUCGGAUCGUAAAACUCUGUUAUUAGGGAAGAACAAAUGUGUAAGUAACUAUGCACGUCUUGACGGUACCUAAUCAGAAAGCCACGGCUAACUACGUGCCAGCAGCCGCGGUAAUACGUAGGUGGCAAGCGUUAUCCGGAAUUAUUGGGCGUAAAGCGCGCGUAGGCGGUUUUUUAAGUCUGAUGUGAAAGCCCACGGCUCAACCGUGGAGGGUCAUUGGAAACUGGAAAACUUGAGUGCAGAAGAGGAAAGUGGAAUUCCAUGUGUAGCGGUGAAAUGCGCAGAGAUAUGGAGGAACACCAGUGGCGAAGGCGACUUUCUGGUCUGUAACUGACGCUGAUGUGCGAAAGCGUGGGGAUCAAACAGGAUUAGAUACCCUGGUAGUCCACGCCGUAAACGAUGAGUGCUAAGUGUUAGGGGGUUUCCGCCCCUUAGUGCUGCAGCUAACGCAUUAAGCACUCCGCCUGGGGAGUACGACCGCAAGGUUGAAACUCAAAGGAAUUGACGGGGACCCGCACAAGCGGUGGAGCAUGUGGUUUAAUUCGAAGCAACGCGAAGAACCUUACCAAAUCUUGACAUCCUCUGAACCCUCUAGAGAUAGAGUUUUCCCCUUCGGGGGACAGAGUGACAGGUGGUGCAUGGUUGUCGUCAGCUCGUGUCGUGAGAUGUUGGGUUAAGUCCCGCAACGAGCGCAACCCUUAAGCUUAGUUGCCAUCAUUAAGUUGGGCACUCUAAGUUGACUGCCGGUGACAAACCGGAGGAAGGUGGGGAUGACGUCAAUCAUCAUGCCCCUUAUGAUUGGGCUACNACGUGCUACAUGGACANUCAAGGGCAGCGAAACCGCGAGGUAAGCAAAUCCANUAAGUUGUUCNCAUUCGGAUGGAUCUGCACUCGACUAUGAACUGGAACCCAG